RNAcentral lists this long non-coding RNA (1003 nucleotides) under Bos indicus x Bos taurus (hybrid cattle). RNAcentral's name for it is "lncRNA (ENSBIXG00000014015.1)". Lineage: Eukaryota; Metazoa; Chordata; Mammalia; Artiodactyla; Bovidae. The record is from RNAcentral.
GGGGACGUCCCGGCCCUCACCCUCCGCGGCCUCGCUGCCAGCCGCCAACCCCACCGUCUGUUGUGGCAGAUGUUUGGCUGUGCCAUGGCAACGCCGGAACAGGAUGUACCUCUGGAUUGCAGCAGGGACAAGCCCAAGCUCACAGGCCGCCCACACCGUUCCCCUCCCCAAAGGCCUGCUGCGGAGAAGAACCGCUUGGGUCCAGAGGAGUCCCUCUACUCAAGAUCCUGAGGGGCUACCCCUGGAGCCGGGCGGGACCUCAAGCCUUCCCGGCCUGCUGGGAAGAGCCAUGGAGAAGCAGGAAGCAGCGUCCUCACCGCAGGAAGGGGCGACUUGUAAACAUCUGAGCAGCUUCCCACCAGUCCCGCUUCUCGGAGAAGCUGCUGCCGAGCUGUUCCUCGAGUGACUGAGCAUCUCUCACUGCUGAGCUCUCCCUUUCCUCCCCAGACUUGAGUACGUGUGACCUAAUGAACCUGAGUGUCGAAGCUCCAGUGGGGUGACCCAUGUCUCCGAACCCCUUCCCCAGCCCUGCCAGAUGCUCAAGCGCCUUCAAAAUCCUCGUAGGACCUUGUGGCCUUCUGCAGCAGGUGAGACUCAACGAUAACUUUGUGGGUCCUUCUCCCCGGAUGGGGGGGACGAGGACCACACACAUGCACUUUGCCCCUGCCUCCGCCAGGGCUGGCCAGACCCGCAUCACUCAGCUGUGACAACACACCAGCACCGGGAAGUCAAAGCUCAGAGGACCUCCACACGCCCCAGGGUCGGUCUGACGACGGUGUCUGUGCCUUCCUGUCGCUUUAAGUAGCGGUGUUUGGUGCGGGCAACUUUAAAAGUCUUGACGCUUUUGGGGGAGGGGGGCGUGGGUCCUGACAGCAACAACAGAAAAGUUCUCUUUAGGAAAAAAAAAACCUUUUCUGACACAGCAUUUUCCCCUGGAACAAGCCUUGGUCAUUACUGGAUUUUUAAAAAUAAAAAACGUGCACAGCAGGAUUAGAGGUAGGAA